Molecule: ribosomal RNA, 568 nt
Filed under: Thermoactinomycetaceae bacterium CNR922 PL04
Lineage: Bacteria; Bacillati; Bacillota; Bacilli; Caryophanales; Thermoactinomycetaceae
Description: bacterial SSU rRNA
Rfam family: Bacterial small subunit ribosomal RNA
Source: RNAcentral
AGAGUUUGAUCCUGGCUCAGGACGAACGCUGGCGGCGUGCCUAAUACAUGCAAGUCGAGCGGAGGAAGCACCUUCGGGUGUGGAAUCAGCGGCGGACGGGUGAGUAACGCGUGGGCAACCUGCCUGCAAGAUCGGGAUAACCCCGGGAAACCGGAGCUAAUACCGAAUAAUCUUUCUCCUCGCAUGGGGAGGAAGUAAAAGAAGGUUUUAAGCCUUCACUUGCAGAUGGGCCCGCGGCGCAUUAGCUAGUUGGUGAGGUAGAGGCUCACCAAGGCGACGAUGCGUAGCCGACCUGAGAGGGUGAUCGGCCACACUGGGACUGAGACACGGCCCAGACUCCUACGGGAGGCAGCAGUAGGGAAUUUUCCGCAAUGGGCGCAAGCCUGACGGAGCAACGCCGCGUGAGUGAGGACGGUUUUCGGAUUGUAAAGCUCUGUCCUUUCGGAAGAACAGCAAGGAGAGGAAAUGCUCCUUGUGUGACGGUACGAAAGAAGAAAGCCCCGGCUAACUACGUGCCAGCAGCCGCGGUAAUACGUAGGGGGGGCAAGCGUUGUCCGGAAUUAUUGGG